This 471-nucleotide ribosomal RNA is filed under the name uncultured bacterium. RNAcentral's name for it is "bacterial SSU rRNA". It matches the Rfam family "Bacterial small subunit ribosomal RNA", at positions 328 to 793 of the family's 1533-position model. The record is from RNAcentral.
CAUCGAGACUCCUACGGGAGGCAGCAGUAGGGAAUCUUCCACAAUGGGCGCAAGCCUGAUGGAGCAACACCGCGUGAGUGAAGAAGGGUUCGGCUCGUAAAACUCUGUUGUUAAAGAAGAACAUAUCUGAGAGUAACUGUUCAGGUAUUGACGGUAUUUAACCAGAAAGCCACGGCUAACUACGUGCCAGCAGCCGCGGUAAUACGUAGGUGGCAAGCGUUGUCCGGAUUUAUUGGGCGUAAAGCGAGCGCAGGCGGUUUUUAAGUCUGAUGUGAAAGCCUUCGGCUCAACCGAAGAAGUGCAUCGGAAACUGGGAAACUUGAGUGCAGAAGAGGACAGUGGAACUCCAUGUGUAGCGGUGAAAUGCGUAGAUAUAUGGAAGAACACCAGUGGCGAAGGCGGCUGUCUGGUCUGUAACUGACGCUGAGGCUCGAAAGUAUGGGUAGCAAACAGGAUUAGAUACCCUGGUAG